Picea glauca (white spruce) is the source of this 129-nucleotide non-coding RNA. The record is from Rfam. Lineage: Eukaryota; Viridiplantae; Streptophyta; Pinopsida; Pinales; Pinaceae.
UCUUAUGUACAUGCCUACAACAUAGCGUUAAUGCAUCAUAUCCCAUUAGAACUCUGUAGUUAAGUGUAAUCGGGAUAGAGUAGUAUUGGGAUGGGUGACUGCCUGGGAAGUCCUAGUAUUUUAUAUGCC